This 1077-nucleotide ribosomal RNA is filed under the name Salmonella enterica. RNAcentral's name for it is "partial 23S ribosomal RNA". It matches the Rfam family "Bacterial large subunit ribosomal RNA", at positions 579 to 1574 of the family's 2925-position model. Lineage: Bacteria; Pseudomonadati; Pseudomonadota; Gammaproteobacteria; Enterobacterales; Enterobacteriaceae. The record is from RNAcentral.
GCUUAGUGGUGGGGUGACUGCGUACCUUUUGUAUAAUGGGUCAGCGACUUAUAUUCUGUAGCAAGGUUAACCGAAUAGGGGAGCCGGAGGGAAACCGAGUCUUAAUUGGGCGUUAAGUUGCAGGGUAUAGACCCGAAACCCGGUGAUCUAGCCAUGGGCAGGUUGAAGGUUGGGUAACACUAACUGGAGGACCGAACCGACUAAUGUUGAAAAAUUAGCGGAUGACCUGUGGCUGGGGGUGAAAGGCCAAUCAAACCGGGAGAUAGCUGGUUCUCCCCGAAAGCUAUUUAGGUAGCGCCUCGUGAAUUCAUCUCCGGGGGUAGAGCACUGUUUCGGCUAGGGGGCCAUCCCGGCUUACCAACCCGAUGCAAACUGCGAAUACCGGAGAAUGUUAUCACGGGAGACACACGGCGGGUGCUAACGUCCGUCGUGAAGAGGGAAACAACCCAGACCGCCAGCUAAGGUCCCAAAGUCAUGGUUAAGUGGGAAACGAUGUGGGAAGGCCCAGACAGCCAGGAUGUUGGCUUAGAAGCAGCCAUCAUUUAAAGAAAGCGUAAUAGCUCACUGGUCGAGUCGGCCUGCGCGGAAGAUGUAACGGGGCUAAACCAUGCACCGAAGCUGCGGCAGCGAACGUAUCACCCAAGACAACUUUACGGAGUUGACGAUUGACGGAGCGAAGCGACGUCAAAGCGUUCAUUAAAGUCGAGUUGGCUUAGGGAUACGUUCGUUGGGUAGGGGAGCGUUCUGUAAGCCUGUGAAGGUGUGUCGUGAGGCAUGCUGGAGGUAUCAGAAGUGCGAAUGCUGACAUAAGUAACGAUAAAGCGGGUGAAAAGCCCGCUCGCCGGAAGACCAAGGGUUCCUGUCCAACGUUAAUCGGGGCAGGGUGAGUCGACCCCUAAGGCGAGGCCGAAAGGCGUAGUCGAUGGGAAACGGGUUAAUAUUCCCGUACUUGGUGUUACUGCGAAGGGGGGACGGAGAAGGCUAUGUUGGCCGGGCGACGGUUGUCCCGGUUUAAGCGUGUAGGUGUGUGUUCCAGGUAAAUCCGGUUCACUUUAACACUGAGGCGUGACGACGAGG